UCCUCAAGCAUAAAUCCAUAAUGCCUACAAGAAUGCUCAUCCAUCAAUCCUUUUAAGGAUCAUUUGAACUAUUUAUCUAAAAUGCAAUUCAUAUCAAGAAAAUAAAUUUUGCAACUAGCCUUCGCCUCAGUUAUUAAUGAUCCUAAAUCCUAAGAGAAGGGUAUUAAAUUGUCUACAAAAACCAAAAUGUGUGAAAAUUUUUGUUCUAGGUUCGGGUCCAUUAAGAUUAAUUGCAAAAGUUUUG
This 244-nucleotide unclassified non-coding RNA is filed under the name Hevea brasiliensis (rubber tree). The record is from RNAcentral. Lineage: Eukaryota; Viridiplantae; Streptophyta; Magnoliopsida; Malpighiales; Euphorbiaceae.